Long non-coding RNA from Notolabrus celidotus (New Zealand spotty), 1819 nucleotides. RefSeq lists it as uncharacterized. The record is from RefSeq and is a predicted model, not a curated record. The transcript is spliced from 3 exons. Lineage: Eukaryota; Metazoa; Chordata; Actinopteri; Labriformes; Labridae.
UAUCUGACAUUAAAAAUGAAAACAUCUCAACCUGACUGCAGUCUUUGUCAGAACUGCUGAUACAAAUGAAAAACAUUUAAUUUAACCUAGAAGAACAAUGUCCAAACUCAAUAAUCACAACAUUUUGAAAGCAUUUUCCCAACCCUGAAGUAUAACAAGUCCAUAGCAAUCCUUGUGUUGGUUUGUUUCAAGUGUUGAAUAAGGUAAACAUCAGAUCAGUCCAAGCUUCCCACGGGGGGAAACUAUCAGUAAAGCAGCCACGUUUCAGGCCAAAGAUCAAGUAUGAUGUCAACAAUGCUUACAGUCACAUAGUCUCUUAAUGUGAUCUCAUUGAUCAUAAAAGUACAGUGGAGAUGAUCCAGGUGAACACAGGCAUCUUGCACAUAAAAUAUGUCCAGUUGUUGCAAGCCCUGGCAGUGCAGUGUGGUUUAGUCCAGAGAAGGAGCUCACAUAUCCGCCUACUGCAUGCCCAGGUGCCUGGUGGGAGAUGCCUGACCUGGGCAUCCGGUGACUGGAGAGACUGACAGGCCCCGGAAGAGGAGGUCCAUGGAGGGCAGGAGGGGCUUCAGAAGACUGACGGGGCAGAAAGCAGAGCCUCCGUGGGGGGUGAAGUUAACUUUAUUGGGGUCAGGGCAGGAUGGCUGGAGGAGAGGCUCAUCCUGACAGGCAGCAGAUCUGUGGGGAAAGAGAAGAGUUGGCAUACUUAAGGAUGAAUAAAACCUUCUCACAUUUUAUCAAAAAGACAAAAGAGCAGAGACUUACCUGGGAGAUGCCCGCUCCGUGACCCCCUGGCAGGGGGUGGUGGCGUGUGAGAUCACAUCCAGCCGGGGGAGGGGCGUGGCGGGAACGCUUCUGCAACUGGUGCCUCAGCUUUGCCACCUGAAAAAUGAAUCAGGAGUCAGUUUGAUUCAUUCUGACAAAGGGGAGGUCACACGUCAGCCUCAGGGGCUGUUAAUGUUUCACAACAUGAAGAGGGGGCGUGCAGAGCGAGGGAGCAGGAGACAGAGGAAGAGUUCAUGAACUGAGCGGUGAUGAGCUGGAGUACUCACCUCCCUGAGGUGCUCCGCGCUGCCCCAUGACGCUGAGCGCUUGUGUCCAACGGAGCUUCUCCUCCCUCGGGUCUCAUCGGCCCAGGAGCUCGGAGUCUUGGCAGAAACAAUAUAAUCACAGUGAGCUCCACGGCUUCUUAUAUCACUUGUAUGAUCGUACCGAUUUCUUCACAUUGACUCUGGAUCUUCUACCAGGUGGAGUCUGGUCCACCGCUCCAGCGUGCUGGCAGUUCAUCAUCACCCGUCGAAACCCAGACUGAGUUGACACCCAGGACCAGGACCUGCAGUCCUCCACACUUCGAGUCAGCUGCUUCACACGCUCAGGAACAAUCUGAUCCCCUCACUGCUUGUCCGUACCAUUCAUGAGGCGGCUAACAUUACACACAGUCAUGUAGCUCUCACUGCCUGACUUAGGCCCAUGUCAUCCCCCCCCAACAAAUACAACUUGUCCUUUGGGUGUCUUCUUCACAACUCAGAGAAAUCCUAUCAGUGCUUGAGAGGCACAGACACCAUCUUGUAGACUAACAUGCAGUUCAUCGCCCGGCUGAAUAAGUCAGAACGCCGUAUGAGUCAGUCAUACAGUGACAUGGGUGUUGUGUUACAGCUGCUGACCCCCACAAUCAUCCAAAACAUGAACAGGGGGGAUCAUGGGACUCAAAGCUAUAAAAAGACUGACUGGUUGGCAUAGCUUGUGUUUCCAUCUUGAACGUCUCAUUAGCGUAUUCAAUUCCUGAUUGCAACAUGGCAUAGUUAAUAAAAUAGUGCCUGUA